UACGUAGGGUGCGAGCGUUAAUCGGAAUUACUGGGCGUAAAGCGUGCGUAGGCGGUUCUCCAAGUCCGUUGUGAAAGCCCCGGGCUCAACCUGGGAAUGGCAGUGGAAACUAGGGGACUGGAAUCUGGCAGAGGGGGGUGGAAUGCCGCGUGUAGCAGUGAAAUGCGUAGAGAUGCGGCGGAACACCGAUGGCGAAGGCAGCCCCCUGGGCUGACACUGACGCUCAUGCACGAAAGCGUGGGGAGCAAACAGG
RNAcentral lists this ribosomal RNA (253 nucleotides) under uncultured bacterium. RNAcentral's name for it is "partial 16S ribosomal RNA". It matches the Rfam family "Bacterial small subunit ribosomal RNA", at positions 524 to 776 of the family's 1533-position model. The record is from RNAcentral.